UGACAGGCAUUUCACAGGCUCUCUGCUGUA
RNAcentral lists this non-coding RNA (30 nucleotides) under Mus musculus (house mouse). The record is from RNAcentral. Lineage: Eukaryota; Metazoa; Chordata; Mammalia; Rodentia; Muridae.